Molecule: non-coding RNA, 103 nt
Filed under: Paenibacillus sp.
Lineage: Bacteria; Bacillati; Bacillota; Bacilli; Caryophanales; Paenibacillaceae
Also listed under: 1 other name
Description: Guanine sequence
Rfam family: Purine riboswitch aptamer
About the family: Riboswitches are metabolite binding domains within certain messenger RNAs that serve as precision sensors for their corresponding targets.
Source: RNAcentral
GGAAACGAAUAUAAAAAAGCUCGUAUAAUUGCAGGAUGAAUCGGCCUGCGAGUCUCUACCCUGCCUCCGCAACGGCAGGACUACGGGCGGUACACAUACGGAC